CAAGGAGUUUUGGUUUGGUGGGAGUUGAAGGGUAUGGGAAGCCCCUUGGGGCAGGGAAAACAAAGAUCGCGAUCCCUUCCCCCUUGGAGGAUGGGGGGGGCGCAGCGACCGCCCGUACCGCCGACCGCAUGCGGACGGAGCGAGAGCACCGAGGCAAGGACCCGAUAGGUGGUGAACUAUUCUCGGGCAGGACGAAGGCCGGGGAAACUCGGCUGGAGGUCCGAAGCGGUUCUGACGUGCAAAUCGAUCGUCCGACCCGAGUAUAGGGGCGAAAGACCAAUCGAACCACCUGGUGGCUGGUUCCCUCCGAAGUUUCCCACAGGAUAGCCGGUGCACGUGUGCAGUCUCGACUGUCGGUAGAGAGAAUGAUUAGAGUUGUUCGGGGACGCCCGUGUCACUCGACCCAUUCUCAAACUACGAACGGGCGAGCAACGGAUCCUCUCCCGAAUGUGCGGAGGUCCG
Molecule: ribosomal RNA, 462 nt
Filed under: Trichonephila edulis (edible golden silk spider)
Lineage: Eukaryota; Metazoa; Arthropoda; Arachnida; Araneae; Nephilidae
Description: eukaryotic LSU rRNA
Rfam family: Eukaryotic large subunit ribosomal RNA
Source: RNAcentral